This 69-nucleotide non-coding RNA is filed under the name Burkholderia gladioli. Its description in RNAcentral is "Fluoride sequence". It matches the Rfam family "Fluoride riboswitch aptamer (crcB RNA motif)". Lineage: Bacteria; Pseudomonadati; Pseudomonadota; Betaproteobacteria; Burkholderiales; Burkholderiaceae. The record is from RNAcentral.
GUGCUUGCCGGAGAUGGCAUUCCUCCGUACACAACCGCCGGUCAGCCGGCUGAUGAUGCCUACGCAUCC